CCAAGGCUUUGAUCGUUAGCUGGUCUGAGAGGAUGGCCAGCCACACUGGAACUGAGACACGGUCCAGACUCCUACGGGAGGCAGCAGUGGGGAAUCUUGCACAAUGGGCGAAAGCCUGAUGCAGCGACGCCGCGUGGGGGAUGAAGCAUUUCGGUGUGUAAACCCCUUUCGACCCGGACGAAUGCCUCGCAAGAGGAGUGACGGUACGGGUAUAAGAAGCCCCGGCUAACUACGUGCCAGCAGCCGCGGUAAGACGUAGGGGGCCAGCGUUGUUCGGAAUUACUGGGUGUAAAGGGUUCGUAGGCGGUGUGGCAAGUUGGGAGUGAAAUCUCUGGGCUCAACCCAGAGGCUGCUUCCAAAACUGCUGUGCUUGAGUGUGGGAGAGGCGCGUGGAAUUGCAGGUGUAGCGGUGAAAUGCGUAGAUAUCUGCAGGAACACCCGUGGCGAAAGCGGCGCGCUGGACCACAACUGACGCUGAGGAACGAAAGCUAGGGGAGCAAACAGGAUUAGAUACCCUGGUAGUCCUAGCCCUAAACGAUCAGGACUUGGGGUGCCGCACGUUCGUGCGUCGUCCCGGAGCUAACGCGUUAAGUCCUGCACCUGGGGAGUACGGUCGCAAGACUGAAACUCAAAGGGAAUUGAGCGGAAGGGCGAA
This 655-nucleotide ribosomal RNA is filed under the name uncultured bacterium. RNAcentral's name for it is "bacterial SSU rRNA". It matches the Rfam family "Bacterial small subunit ribosomal RNA", at positions 268 to 925 of the family's 1533-position model. The record is from RNAcentral.